Molecule: ribosomal RNA, 681 nt
Filed under: Perenniporia nonggangensis
Lineage: Eukaryota; Fungi; Basidiomycota; Agaricomycetes; Polyporales; Polyporaceae
Description: eukaryotic LSU rRNA
Rfam family: 5.8S ribosomal RNA (bases 257-410)
Source: RNAcentral
UAACAAGGUUUCCGUAGGUGAACCUGCGGAAGGAUCAUUAUCGAGUCUUGAAACGGGUUGUAGCUGGCCUUCUGAGGCAUGUGCACACCCUGCUCAUCCACUCUACACAUACACACCUGUGCAUUUGAUGUAGGCUUUUGGAGGUGGUGCAGGCUUUUUUGCCUGCUGAAGCUUCUGGGGGCUUAUGUUUUUUUUACACACUUGCCACACCCUUUGGUAUGGGAACGUUUGUUGCGAUGUUAAUGCAUUUAUAUACAACUUUCAGCAACGGAUCUCUUGGCUCUCGCAUCGAUGAAGAACGCAGCGAAAUGCGAUAAGUAAUGUGAAUUGCAGAAUUCAGUGAAUCAUCGAAUCUUUGAACGCACCUUGCGCUCCUUGGUAUUCUGAGGAGCAUGCCUGUUUGAGUGUCAUAAAAUUCUCAACCCAUGAGCCCUUGUGGGCUUAUUGUCGGUGUUGGUCUUUGGAGGCUUUUUUGUCGGCUCACCCAUUGUCGGCUCCUCUUAAAUGCAUUAGCUUGGUUCUCUACAGAUCGGCUUCCGGUGUGAUAGUCAUGUUUACACUGUUGACCGUAAAGUGUGUGUCUGGGCCAGCUUCUAAUUUGUGGUCUCCUUGGAGAUGGCUUUUCUUGACCUCUGACCUCAAAUCAGGUAGGACUACCCGCUGAACUUAAGCAUAUCAAUA